AGUCACUGACAUUAGAUACCCCUGUAGUCCCAGCCGUAAACAAUGUGCGUUAGGUGUGUCGGUAACCACGUGUUACUGAUGCGCCGAAGAGAAAUCGUGAAACGCACCACCUGGGAAGUACGGUCGCAAGGCUGAAACUUAAAGGAAUUGGCAGGGAGCACCACAACAGGUGGAGCCUGCGGUUUAAUUGGAUUCAACGCCGGACAUCUCACCGGAUAAGACAGCUGAAUGAUUGUCAAUCUGAAGGUUUUACAUGACUAGCUG
This 264-nucleotide ribosomal RNA is filed under the name uncultured archaeon. RNAcentral describes it as "partial 16S ribosomal RNA". It matches the Rfam family "Archaeal small subunit ribosomal RNA", at positions 718 to 982 of the family's 1478-position model. The record is from RNAcentral.